AACAUAACCUCUGUCGUUGCUUCGGCGGGCACGCCCGCCGGAGGUUCAAAACUCUUAUUUUUUUCAGUAUCUCUGAGCCUAAAAGACAAAUAAUCAAAACUUUCAACAACGGAUCUCUUGGUUCUGGCAUCGAUGAAGAACGCAGCGAAAUGCGAUAAGUAAUGUGAAUUGCAGAAUUCAGUGAAUCAUCGAAUCUUUGAACGCACAUUGCGCCCGCCGGUAUUCCGGCGGGCAUGCCUGUUCGAGCGUCAUUUCAACCCUCAAGCCUCGGCUUGGUGUUGGGGCGCCCGGGCCCUCCGCGGCCCGGGGCCCCCAAGUUCAUCGGCGGGCUCGUCGGUACACUGAGCGCAGUAAAACGCGGUAAAACGCGAACCUCGUUCGGAUCGUCCCGGCGUGCUCCAGCCGCUAAACCCCCAAUUCUUUAAAGGUUGACCUCGGAUCAGGUAGGAAUACCCGCUGAACUUAAGCAUAUCAAUAAGCGGAGGAA
RNAcentral lists this ribosomal RNA (487 nucleotides) under Pyricularia grisea. Its description in RNAcentral is "eukaryotic LSU rRNA". The stretch from base 98 to 251 matches the Rfam family "5.8S ribosomal RNA". The record is from RNAcentral. Lineage: Eukaryota; Fungi; Ascomycota; Sordariomycetes; Magnaporthales; Pyriculariaceae.